Non-coding RNA from Advenella kashmirensis WT001, 383 nucleotides. The record is from Rfam. NCBI's taxonomy places the organism in Bacteria, Pseudomonadati, Pseudomonadota, Betaproteobacteria, Burkholderiales, Alcaligenaceae.
AGGAAAGGUUGGGCAAUCGCGGUACAUCAGUAUCGAGGAAUGUCCGGACUCCGCAGGGCAGGAUAGCGGCUAACAGCCGUCCGGUGGUUUGCGCCACCGAGGAAUAGGGCCACAGAGACGAGACUGGCGCGCGGGCUUAACCGCACUGAUACGGCGACUUCCGUAAGGCGUCACCCCAAUAGGGUGACAGCGCGUCAGGGUGAAACGCGGUAACCUCUAUCCGGAGCAACAUCAAAUAGGCAUGCGUGUGAUUCGUCACGAAGGGCGGCUCGUCCAAGCAUGCGGGUAGAUGGCUUGAGUGCCUUAGUAAUAAGGUUGCCAGAGGAAUGAUUGCCAACCGGGAAACCGGUUUACAGAAUCCGGCUUACAGACCUUUCCUGUCU